This 1091-nucleotide ribosomal RNA is filed under the name uncultured crenarchaeote. Its description in RNAcentral is "bacterial SSU rRNA". It matches the Rfam family "Archaeal small subunit ribosomal RNA", at positions 312 to 1406 of the family's 1478-position model. Lineage: Archaea; Thermoproteati; Thermoproteota. The record is from RNAcentral.
GGGUCCAGGCCCUACGGGCGCAGCAGGCGCGAAAACUUUGCAAUGUGCGAAAGCACGACAAGGUUAAUCCGAGUGCAACAUGCUGAAUGUAGCUUUUGGUAAAUGUAAAUAGUUUAUUGAAUAAGGGGAGGGAAAGUCUGGUGUCAGCCGCCGCGGUAAUACCAGCUCCCCGAGUGGUCGGGACGAUUAUUGGGCCUAAAGCAUCCGUAGCCUGUUCUGUAGGUCUUAUGUUAAAAUCAAUUGCUCAACAAUUGAACUGCAUGAGAUACCACAAAACUAGGAGGCGGGAGAGGUGGACGGUACUCCACGGGUAGGGGUAAAAUCCUCUGAACCGUGGAAGACCACCAGUGGCGAAGGCGGUCCACCAGAACGCGCUCGACGGUGAGGGAUGAAAGCUGGGGUAGCGAACCGGAUUAGAUACCCGGGUAGUCCCAGCUGUAAACGAUGCAAGCUAGGUGAUGCAUCAGCCACGUGUUGAUGCAGUGCCGCAGGGAAGCCGUUAAGCUUGCCGCCUGGGGAGUACGGUCGCAAGGCUGAAACUUAAAGGAAUUGGCGGGGGAGCACCACAAGGGGUGAAGCCUGCGGUUCAAUUGGAGUCAACGCCGGGAACCUUACCAGGAGAGACAGCAGAGUGAAGGUCAAGCUGAAGACUUUACCAGACAAGCUGAGAGGAGGCGCAUGGCCGUCGACAGCUCGUGCCGUGAGGCGUCCUGUUAAGUCAGGCAACGAGCGAGACCCUUGCCAUUAAUUGCUUCCAUCGAUCGAAAGGUUGGCGGAGCUAGUUAAUGGGACUGCCGUUGAUAAAACGGAGGAAGGAAGGGGCCACGGCAGGUCAGUAUGCCCCGAAACUCUUGGGCCACACGCGGGCUGCAAUGGUAGGCACAAUAGGUACCGAAUUCGAGAGAAUGAGGCAAUCCCAAAAUCCUACCCCAGUUGUGAUUGAGGGCUGCAACUCGCCCUCAUGAAUCUGGAAUCCCUAGUAACCGCGUGUCAACAUCGCGCGGUGAAUACGUCCCUGCUCCUUGCACACACCGCCCGUCGCUUCACCCGAGUUGGGUUUGGGGGAGAUAGUGUCUUAUUGACAUUAUCGA